Molecule: ribosomal RNA, 597 nt
Filed under: Heterochaete sp. 2 KUC20130725-37
Lineage: Eukaryota; Fungi; Basidiomycota; Agaricomycetes; Auriculariales; Exidiaceae
Description: eukaryotic LSU rRNA
Rfam family: Eukaryotic large subunit ribosomal RNA
Source: RNAcentral
UAACAAGGAUUCCCCUAGUAACGGCGAGUGAAGAGGGAAGAGCUCAAAUUUAAAAUCUGGCGGUCUACGGCCGUCCGAGUUGUAAUCUAGAGAGGUGUUUUCCGUGCCGGACCGUGUACAAGUCCCUUGGAACAGGGCGUCAUAGAGGGUGAGAAUCCCGUCCAUGACACGGACUCCCGGUGCACUGUGAUACGCCUUCGAAGAGUCGAGUUGUUUGGGAAUGCAGCUCAAAAUGGGUGGUAAAUUCCAUCUAAAGCUAAAUACAGGCGAGAGACCGAUAGCGAACAAGUACCGUGAGGGAAAGAUGAAAAGAACUUUGGAAAGAGAGUUAAACAGUACGUGAAAUUGUUGAAAGGGAAACGCUUGAAGUCAGUCGCGUCCGCAGGGACUCAGCCUUGCUUUUGCUUGGUGUACUUCUCUGUGGAUGGGCCAGCAUCGAUUUUAGUCGCCGGAAAAGGGCGGGAGGAAUGUGGCAGCUUGCUGUGUUAUAGCCUCUCGUCGUACACGGUGGCCGGGAUCGAGGACUGCAGCACGCCUUUUGGUCGGGGUUCGCCCACGCCACGUGCUUAGGAUGCUGGCGUAAUGGCUUUAAACGAC